AAUACAUGUACAACUUUCAACAACGGAUCUCUUGGCUCUCGCAUCGAUGAAGAACGCAGCGAAAUGCGAUAAGUAAUGUGAAUUGCAGAAUUCAGUGAAUCAUCGAAUCUUUGAACGCACCUUGCGCUCCUUGGUAUUCCAAGGAGCAUGCCUGUUUGAGUGUCAUGAA
Molecule: ribosomal RNA, 169 nt
Filed under: Pseudotricholoma metapodium
Lineage: Eukaryota; Fungi; Basidiomycota; Agaricomycetes; Agaricales; Tricholomataceae
Description: 5.8S ribosomal RNA
Rfam family: 5.8S ribosomal RNA
About the family: 5.8S ribosomal RNA (5.8S rRNA) is a component of the large subunit of the eukaryotic ribosome. It is transcribed by RNA polymerase I as part of the 45S precursor that also contains 18S and 28S rRNA. Functionally, it is thought that 5.8S rRNA may be involved in ribosome translocation.
Source: RNAcentral